UGGCGCAAUGGUUGAGCGUUUGGCUGAUAACCAAAAUGUUGGCAGUUCAAAUCUACC
This 57-nucleotide transfer RNA is filed under the name Loxodonta africana (African savanna elephant). It matches the Rfam family "tRNA", at positions 8 to 63 of the family's 71-position model. From Rfam's summary of the family: Transfer RNA (tRNA) molecules are approximately 80 nucleotides in length. Their secondary structure includes four short double-helical elements and three loops (D, anti-codon, and T loops). The record is from Rfam by way of RNAcentral. Lineage: Eukaryota; Metazoa; Chordata; Mammalia; Proboscidea; Elephantidae.